Ictidomys tridecemlineatus (thirteen-lined ground squirrel) is the source of this 1065-nucleotide non-coding RNA. The record is from RefSeq and is a predicted model, not a curated record. NCBI's taxonomy places the organism in Eukaryota, Metazoa, Chordata, Mammalia, Rodentia, Sciuridae.
ACAACCCGCCCCAGGAGGGACCCAGGCAGCCCGGGAGAGACAGGCUGCUCUGUGUUGCAGCUCUCGCUCUGUCUUUUGUAAAAUAACGCUUAGCUUCGCCCUCUCCUUAACAGCAAUCUCUGAAAAAACCUGAUGCGAGUCUAAGAAGAGAGAAAAAAAAAUUGCCCCUAGCACUGGCCUCCGGAUGUCACCAUGGUGACUCGGUGUCCUUGGUUCCUGGUUGGCCUCUGGGCUUUGUGUAUGUUUGAGGCAGCAGCCGCUCAGGCUACUGCACCCGGUUCGGCUCUGAAAGUUUCCUGUGGCCAACUCAUUCAGUCAGGUCCUAAAAGAAAUAGAUGGUGGGCCUCAUCUGGACCCAGGUCACAGUCUGCUGACGUCUGGACCCGACUACUUCUAAGGAAUGUUCUGGAUCAGACAGUCACAGUUUUGUGUGCAACUGGACGUGUGUCACCGCCAAAUUGGAGAAGGAGUUUGCUGGCCCCAACUUACCGGCUCAGCAGCUGGCUCUGCCACCGCCUCCCUGCGGUCAUCCUGGACGCCGUGGGCUGCUCUGUUCUAGCAGGCCCUCCUGUCCAGUACCGAUCGGAUGGAAGAAGAUGGCUUUUCAGCCUCUCCCAAGUGUCCCAUUGUCCCAGUGGACACAAGUACAUGACGCCCCAUGGUCCUUAUGGUGAAUGCACAUCGUCUCCCCAGCCCUUUGUCCCCCUCUAAGCUGUGAGUGAUUUCAUGGUGUCCCACGCAGUUACCUUGAGUGUGGAGACUGGCAGGUCUUGCUCCACUCUUUUUUUAAUGGUACUCGGGAUGGAACCCACAGGCUCCUACACUCUAGGCAAGUCCUGUACCACUGAGCUACCUCCCCAGCCUUUUAAUUUUUUUAAUUUUGAGACAAGGUUCUUACUAAGUUGCUGAGGCUGACCUCCAUCUUGCGAUACUCCUGCCUCAGCCUCUAGAGUAACUGGGACCACAGGCAUGUGCCACCAUGUCUGGCUUUUGCUAGACACGUUCAUGAAUUAAUGAACUCAAAUGUUUAAUUUUUCUAAAAAAGCAAAAUAAAAGCAAAGAAAA